RNAcentral lists this ribosomal RNA (251 nucleotides) under uncultured prokaryote. Its description in RNAcentral is "partial 16S rRNA". It matches the Rfam family "Bacterial small subunit ribosomal RNA", at positions 525 to 775 of the family's 1533-position model. The record is from RNAcentral.
ACGUAGGGUGCAAGCGUUGACCGGAAUUAUUGGGCGUAAAGCGUGCGCAGGCGGCCUUAUAAGUCUGGAGUGAAAGUCCUGCUUUUAAGUUGGGAAUUGCUUUGGAUACUGCUUGGCUUGAGUGCAGGAGAGGGAAGUGGAAUUCCCGGUGUAGCGGUGAAAUGCGUAGAGAUGGGGAGGAACACCAGUGGCGAAGGCGACCUACUGGACUGUAACUGACGGUGAGCCGCGAAAGUGUGGGGAGCAAACAG